GAGAACAUCGCCCUCGCGGGUGACUCUCCAACCCUAUGUUAUUGUACCUUUGUUGCUUUGGCGAGCCGGUGGCCGAAGCGGCUCGCGCUGGUGAGUGCUCGCCAGAGGACCCCAAACUCUGAAUUAUUAGUGUCGUCUGAGUACUAUAUAAUAGUUAAAACUUUCAACAACGGAUCUCUUGGUUCU
This 186-nucleotide unclassified non-coding RNA is filed under the name rhizosphere metagenome. RNAcentral describes it as "partial ribosomal RNA internal transcribed spacer region". The record is from RNAcentral.